AGUGAACGCUGGCGGUAGGCCUAACACAUGCAAGUCGAACGGCAGCACAGUAAGAGCUUGCUCUUACGGGUGGCGAGUGGCGGACGGGUGAGGAAUACAUCGGAAUCUACUUUUUCGUGGGGGAUAACGUAGGGAAACUUACGCUAAUACCGCAUACGACCUACGGGUGAAAGCAGGGGAUCUUCGGACCUUGCGCGAUUGAAUGAGCCGAUGUCGGAUUAGCUAGUUGGCGGGGUAAAGGCCCACCAAGGCGACGAUCCGUAGCUGGUCUGAGAGGAUGAUCAGACACACUGGAACUGAGACACGGUCCAGACUCCUACGGGAGGCAGCAGUGGGGAAUAUUGGACAAUGGGCGCAAGCCUGAUCCAGCCAUACCGCGUGGGUGAAGAAGGCCUUCGGGUUGUAAAGCCCUUUUGUUGGGAAAGAAAAGCAGCAGGUGAAUACCCCGCUGUUCUGACGGUACCCAAAGAAUAAGCACCGGCUAACUUCGUG
Molecule: ribosomal RNA, 492 nt
Filed under: uncultured bacterium
Lineage: Bacteria
Description: partial 16S ribosomal RNA
Rfam family: Bacterial small subunit ribosomal RNA
Source: RNAcentral